AUGGGGCCGCCGCGUAAGCGGACGGAGGAGGAUAUGGAGGUGGACGAGGACAACGCCGACGAUGUCCGUGCCGGCGCGCUUGCCACGGUAGAGGAGCGCGAACUCGGGAACAUGAGGAAGAGGGGACCGGAGGCCGAAGAGGAGGGCGACGAACUGUACACCUUCCCGUUGGAUAAUCGGUCCGGGAAGCUUGCCAAGUGGAACACGUGGGAGAAGAAGAAGAAGGCGGAGGCGAGCAGGUUGGAGGAGCUCCUGAGGUGGCGCGUGGACGGAGUGAAUCGAUUCGAUGUCCCACCAGCCGCCGCCGCCAUCGACACCGUAUGCGUGUGUUCACCGGUUAGAAUAACGCAAAUUUAG
Molecule: ribosomal RNA, 357 nt
Filed under: Triticum aestivum (bread wheat)
Lineage: Eukaryota; Viridiplantae; Streptophyta; Magnoliopsida; Poales; Poaceae
Description: partial small subunit ribosomal RNA
Source: RNAcentral